Loxodonta africana (African savanna elephant) is the source of this 9811-nucleotide long non-coding RNA. RefSeq lists it as uncharacterized. NCBI's taxonomy places the organism in Eukaryota, Metazoa, Chordata, Mammalia, Proboscidea, Elephantidae. The record is from RefSeq and is a predicted model, not a curated record. The transcript has 3 exons.
CGCUACAGAGGAGCCGGGAACGGCCGUCGUGGGCGGGGCCGUGGAGGGAAGGAGCGCAUGUGCAGACUAGAGGCUGAAGGCCGCGGCGCCAUCUUUGAUAUUGGCCUAGUCCUCUUCGUCUCUUCAGCGUUACGAAAUAGGUGCUGUGGGCGCCAUGUUAGCUUGGGGCAAAGGCGACCUAAUCUCGGGAUUGGCGGUCGAAGUCCUGAUGGCCGGUGUUUAAAUGGGACGGUUCUAUCUAUUCUGUCCUGUAGGGUCGCUACGAGUCGGAAUGGGACGGUUCUAUCUAUUCUGUCCUGUAGGGUCGCUACGAGUCGGAAUGACCGGAGGGGACACAACAGGUGGAGUCAAAUCCACAAGGUCUCACUCGAAGUACAGAUGACUUCUGGAUACUUGAGGUGACGGUUCUCUUCUACGUAAAGAGACAAAUGCACAUUGAAAUUACUUCGGUAUCAUCUUUCACACCUCGAAACCGAAGAUGGACAGUUUUGUAACAGUGAGAGCUCUUGGCGAGAGGAGGCACCUACGGUGUCAGUCGGAGUCUAACUCAGUCCCACCUCUUUGAGGUAGACUUUGCAAUAUCUUUCCGUUUUAAGUGCAGGCACAUUUCCUUUGACUCAGCAGUUCCGCCUCUUGGGAUCUAGCGGCUUUCCCGUGUGUGCGCCGAAGGAGAAGGAGAGAUGAGCAAAAAGUUAAGUGACCAUCCUUUAGGCACAUCCAGCGGUUCCAAGGACCCAAGUAGAUGUCUGCGCUGGUGAACGUCUUCAAAAUGAAGUUAAACAAUGUGAAAUGGAAACCUAUUGGUGUAAAUCAAGCUAUGUAUAUGCACCUGUGUAUACAAGGUGUUCCUUUCUGGCCUAAGGAAAAUAAUGUAGCAUUUGGGGACAAAAACGCAUCCUAGUAAUCUGGCACCUGAGGCCACAAUGUCGACGACCUCAAUAGUGAGUGUGAUCUUCCCUUUGGAGCUCUGGUACACAGGGAGGAAGGUGACCCAGAUGCUGCAUAGUGUCAGCAUGCUGAAGGUUUGGGACUGGGCUUCACUGAAGGUGAUGGGCAGCCUUCUGGCAAAAAAAAUGCCACAGUGAAGCUCCCCAGAGCCAAGAAGCACAGAUAGCCUAGCACACACUUGAACUCUGUGACAGAGGCAGUCCUCCUUGCAUUCAAGGAUGAUGUGGUGAGGCUCAGAGAGAAUGUUUAUAUUAAUGAACAGGGGCGAUGUUCCCAGCCAGAUUCCACACAGAGUCACUUGGAUUGUAGAGCAAGUAGGAAUGACAGUUAGAGAUCCCUGAUGUGAACCACAACCUCAUCCUGCUCCCAGGCAUUGUGGAUUUGAAGGCCAAAGACACAGAGAUAGUUUUAGCCAAGACGGUGGAAACAGCCACAAUCAACAUGAUUCCAAAUGUGAUUUGAUGGAGGAUGUAGGUGGCUGUGUUGGGGCAGCCAAUGAAUAGUAAGGAGCAGAGGAAGCACAGGAGGAGGGAGAUGAAGAGGGUGUAGCUGAGAGCCCAGUUGUUGGUUUUCACUAUGGGGGUGUCCUGUGCUUCACAAAGACCCCAAGUACUACAGCUGUGAGGGUGGAGAAGCAGAGGGCGGUACAGGAGAGAUGACCCUAUAGAGUCCUCAAAGCUCAGGAAGUUCAGAGCCUUUGGAAGACAGGGAUCUGUGCCACUGUUUGGAUACUGAUGGUUGGGGCAUUUCACACACUUCUUCAUAUCUGUCAAAAAAAGCAACCUCAGUAUCAAAUUAACCUAUUAAUAUUUGGAAAUGGUAAAGCAUAUUAAACCAUUUUCUGUGCAAGUGUUUCAUAUUUUUCUUUAUCUUAAAGUUUUACUUCCUCUGAUUGUUAAGGUUGUGUGUCAACUUGACUGGGCCAUGAUUCUCAGUAAUUUGGCAGUUAUAAUGUAGUUUGACCCAAGCCAUGGUAUUUUCAUUCGCAUCAUACACAUGUGAAAGCUGGACAAUGAAUAAGGAAGACCAAAGAAGAAUUGACACCUUUGAAUUGUGGUGUUGGCGAAGCAUAUUGAAUAUACCAUGGACUGCCAAAAGAACGAACAAAUCUGUCUUGGAAGAAGUACAACCAGAAUGCUCCUGAGAAGCAAGGAUGGCGAGACUGUGUCUUACGUACUUCAGAGAUGUUGUCAGGAGGGAUCAGUCUCUGGAGAAGGACAUCAUGCUUGGUAAAGUACAGGGUCAGUGGAAAAGAGGAGGACCUUCAACUUGGUGGAUUGACACAGUGGCUGCAACAGUGAGCUCAAGCCUAACAACAAUUGUAAGGAUGGCUCAGGACCAGGCAGUGUUUUGUUCUGUUGUGCACAGGGUCACUAUGAGUUGGAAUCGACUCGACGGCACCUAACAACAACGACAACAAUGUAGUUUGACAGUCAUAUAAUUACGUAAUCACUUCCAUGAUGAGAUCUGAUAUAAUGUGGCCACCUCUAAGAUGGGGUCUGCUGUGAGUAGCCAAUCAGGGGUGUGGCUUACGUCCAGUACAAGUAGACUUUAUGGCAAGGCUUAUGGUUUUGCUUGCUUUGAAUCCUGCAUCUGGCUCCUGUUCUUCUGGCCUUCGGUUCUUGGGACUUGAGCUCGCAGCUUACCUGCCAUCUUGCCCGCUGAUCUUGGGAUUCAUCGGUCUCCGCAGCCUUUGAGUCAGAAGAAGCCUCCAGUCUGACCCACAAACUUGGGACUUUUCAGCCUCUACAACUGUCCUUCCCCAAAGGUAUCUAUCACCUUUUACCAGAGUGACAUGUUGAUGCCCAUCUUCUAGAAGACCCCCUUCCUUGAUCUGAAGGCGACUGGAAUCAGCAAGUGGACGUGUUGGUACGCUCACUUGAGGUGGCCAACUGGGUCCAUGAAAUGAGCAGACAUGGGGGUACUGCGGCAAUGCAGAGAUGAGCUGAACCUAGACACAUUCCUUUUACAUGCUGAGGCAUAAAAAUGCCAAUAAGGACUGCUCUGACUGCCAGCAAGAAAGACAGAGGUUGCAGAUGGCUAUAGGGAGAAGACCCUCCACGUAGCUGGCAAGUUGAUUAUAUUGGACCAAUGACAUCAGUGGCACUGGGUGGCUACAAAUGGGUCCUCAUAGGAAUAGAUACUUACUCUGGACUAGGCUUUGCAUGGGGCCCUGUUGGCGCAGUGGUUCAGAGCUACCAAGAGGUCAGCGGUUUGAAUCCACCAGCCACUCCUUGGAAACCCUAUGGGGCAGUUCUGCUCUGUCCCAUAGGGUCGCUAUGAGUCAGAAUCAACUUGGCAGCAGUGGGUUUGGUUCUUUGGUCUUAUUCUUUUUUUUUUUGGUUGGCCUGCAUAUCCUGUGAUAGAUGCAAAUGUCAAGAACACCAUUAAGUGAUUGGAACACAAGAUACUGUACCAAUUUAGGCCACUGAGUUAUACUUUAUCAACCAAGGAACACACUUUACAGCCCACAGGGUGCAGCAGUGGGCCAAGAAACAUCAUAUUAAAUGGACAUACUGUGUUGUAUACCACCCUCAGACUAACGGUUUGAUAGAGAAUUGGAAUGGGCAACUGAACAUUUGUUAUCCAAAAUGGGAGGAGAUACAGGCAUGAAGGGCUGACUCUCACACCUUCAUGAGUGUGUGCUCACACUCAACAUGAGGUGGACAAAGGGAGGAUCUCCACUGGACAGAUUCCUACAUUUCUCUGGGGGAUCUGGGGAAGAUGCUGGGGCCAUUAUACAGUUUUUCCUCACAUCACCUAAAAUUGCUUUUUUUUUUUCUGCCGGAUGCUACGAUCCCAUGGCCAGGGAUGCAGCUGUGGGUGCUGGAAGCAGGGAUGAUCCCUAAGCAAGAGACGGUAACUAUACCCCUGAACCUGUAUUCCAGAAUUCCCAAGAGCCUGGUUGGGUGAAUUGUGACUCUCUCCAUCUGGCAAAAUUGGGGUUGACAAUGAAUACUGCUGUAUUGCCUAGUCGGUGAGAUAGCCUCUAGUGGUGUACCAAUGUAACCCUGCCCAACAUGAAUGGGAGUGGAAUGAGGGGGAAGCAUUGCUAGACUGGUCUUGGCUACCAGCAAUCUGGAUUGGCACAGCAUCUGAACCUGAUGUCCCUUCCCAAAGUAGAAAAAUUUGGGUAAAUGCCAAAUGACAGCUGAAGGUAAAGGAAUAAAUGAGUUAUGCAGUAGGCGAGAUCUAACAUUAUAGUGAAACCUUGAGAGAGACUCAGAGCAAGGGAAUAUCUUCUCUCAGUUAAGUUUUAUCAGAGGCCAGAGAUAAUGAAACCAAGACUUUUGGGGAACCUGACAAGAUCAGAUGGACAACUGAAGCAGACCCAGAUUGCUUAUACCUGAGUAACCUCACCCUGAGGUCUCUUCGCCCUAUUGAAGAACUAAUUGUUAAUGACUGUUUUAGACUAGUAAAAUGAUUGGGAGGGGAAAGUUAUUCUCCAAGUAUGAAGGAACCAUGGCUAGAAAAGCCAGGGGGUAGCCUGUGGUACAUUGGAUCACUUUUAUAUGGCCUUCCUCACCAUGGUCUCGUAAUUCCCACGGAAUGAUUGGGUGGGAGUGUGCAAAUAAGGUGCUGUGGCCCAUCAAGGGGAUUGAAUAGCUUGCUAAUAAUGCAAAAUAAGGUGCAUGGCACCUUUGUUGGAGGUGGAACCAAAAAAACCAAACCCACAGCCAUCAAGUCGAUUGUGACUCAUAGUGAUCCUGUAGGACAGAGUAGAACUGCCCCAUAGUUCCCAAGGAGCGCCUGGUGGAUUCUAACUGCUGACCAUUUUGGUUAACAGCUGUAGCACUUAACUGCCAUACCACCAGGGUUUCCUUGUGGGGGUAGGGCCAUGCAAAUAAGGUAUAUGGAACCCUAACAAAGAGAUUGGUCAGUUUUGCUAUCCUGCUAGGCUUAAAGGGAGACAUGGAAAAAGAGGGAGGAGGUGUAUCCGAAAGACAGGAAGAGAUGGUGGCAUGAGACAGCAGGAACCAGGAGACUGGCCGGGGGGCGCUGCAGCAGGGCUUGCUGACCCACAGAGCUAAGAGGUGUAACCCUUUGCCAAGGAGGGCCCCAGCAGGGCCUGGCACCAAAGGCAAGAAGAAGCUGUCCUGAUUGAGGAGCUGCAUCCAGAGGUUUUGUUCCUGUUACUUGCAAGUUGAUCCCAAUUCAAAGUCGUACCAUUUAUUCCCUAGUAAACCACUUAACUGUAAGUAUGGCCUGUGAGUUUUGUGAGAUGUCGCUGUGAAUUACCAAACCCAAAGCCAGAAGGGAGAGGACUGAGGGACAGGGAGUCGUUUGUUAGAGAUGAUGGAUGGUACAGCAGCUUGGAAAAUUGGGACAUUUGGGAUAUUUUCUACCUCCGCCUCGUAGGAACCAGCUUUGUGCUGAUCCUUAUAAAAGAAAUUAUUCAUUUAGUGUUCUUUAUGUACUGCUUUUUUCCUCACCAUUAUUUUUGUUAGAUUUAUCCAUAUUGUCCACCUAUAUUGUUACAUGUAGUCAUAGUUCUAAUUGUGAAUUUAUCACAAUUCAUUUAUCCAUUUUACUGUUGGAGAUGUGGGUCAUUGCCAGAUUUCGUGUACUGCUAAUAACACUGCCCACCAUGAGUCUGUUAGUCUGUUGUAUCGUGGUGGUGUGGCUGUUGAUUACUUCGUGUGGCCUUUCUAGCCAUGAUCUUGUAACUCCCACCCAGGUGAUUGGGCAGGACCACGUGAUAGAGUAAUUUUGGCCUACCAAGUGGAUUGGUCAGCUUUGCCUUAAAAGAUAGCCAACUCUAGAGCAGAGGGGAGGGUCCUACCGCCACCAAGGAAGAACAGUCAGGAGCGGAGAGUGCAUCUUUUGGACCCGUAAUCCCUGUGCUGAAAAGCUCCUGGAAGCAGGAGACUGAGAGAGAGAGCAAGAUGGUGAGAGAGAGAUGAAGAUGGUGAGAAGCCAUGGCAGGAGAGAGCUGGCAGCAGAUACCUGGCAGCAGGAGACAGCACAGUGGGCUUCCUGGCCCACAGAGAGAGAAAGCUGAGUGUCUUUGGGGAGAGGCCUAGGGCCAGGGAGAGGUGUGUCUGCGAGCAUGACUGGGAAGAGGCUGUCCUGAUGGACUAACUGUAUCCUGAGUCUUCCUGAGCAUGAAUUGUAACUAUUACUUCCCUAAUAAUCCCCCAUAAUCCUGAGUAUGAUCUGUGAGUUCUCUGUGGCCACUGCAGUGAAUUAUUGAACCCAGCAGAGAAGUGUAGAGUGCUGUGGGGGGGACGGUUGGUAUCAGAAUUAAUAAAGAUGAGAGAGAGGAGGCUUGUCUGGUCUCUACUUCCUGAGUUAGCUUUUGCUGUUGAUCUUGGUUCUUCUUUCCCCUUGUGGGGUUGGAGGAGGUCGGACACUGCCCCAUGAUGUUUUUAAUCAUGUCACAAGUGGGACUCUUUGCAAUGGCUCCAGACUCAUGAAAACAUAGAAUUUUGUAAGAGAAAGAACGAAGGGGCUUGGGAUGUGAAACUUGGUUCUUGGACGAUUGCUUUGGUUGCUGUUACUUGUAGUGGCUGAAAAGGUGCAGCUGGAGUGGGCUGGGGCCAAAGCCAGGCCAGAUAAGCAGGAUGAUUGAUAAAGGGGCCGGGGUCUACAGUUUCCACCCAGCCAGAGGCCCAAGGCCAUAUGCAUAUGAAUGGGAAGAUAGUUAAGGUGUAGAGAAGAUUAAGCUGGAAUAUUUUAAUAGGGUUCUGUGUUUAGGGUUAUGCAUUUAUCUGAAUAUACUAUGCAUAUUCAAUGUUUCUUCUACCUAAUGUUGUAAAGCAGACCUACAUGUACCCUAGAAAUGAAUAUUGGAUAUUAUAGAUUACAGAGAGCAUGUAACUUCGCCUUCAGCCAAUACCUGAUUGGAUAUGCUAAAAGGGGAAAUAGCAUUUGCUCAAGGGGAACACAGGCUGUUGGUUUGAAUGCAGUAGCCCUGUGUAUAGAGUGGGGCUGUAGGCCAAACCCUGAGCCCACCCAAAUCUGCCUUUGAAAAGACUUGCAUAACCACCCAGAGCUGUCAAGAGAAUGGAAGAUUAGCAUUUGAAGGAAGAACUUACAGAAAAAAAAGUGGCUGUUUUGUUUAAUUUUGAGCAAGUGGCUUGUUGUUGGAUGCAUCUAGGCAGGAAAAGUCAGUGCCCAUUGUAGGGAACCCUCUUCCAGGACUGUAAGUUAAAGGGAGCUUGCUUGUGGUGACCACCUGGAAGUGGGGGAAGUACAGCAAUGAAGAGACCAAGAGACAAAAGGGCCACAUAAACCAGAGACUCCAUCAGCCUGAGACCAGAAGACCUAGAUGGUACCUGGCUACCACCAGUGACAGCCCUGACAGGGAACACAACAGAGAGUCCCUGAUGGAACAGGAGAAAAGUGGGGUGCAAUACUCAGAUUCAUACAAAAAGACCGGACUUAAUGCUCAGAAACUGGAAGAACCCUCGAAGCCAUGGCCCCUGGAUGUUCUGUUAACCCAGAACUAAAACCAUUCCUUAAGUCCACUCUUCAGACAAAGAUUAGACUUGUGACCCCAAUACCACCCAGCAUGUUUUCUUCUUUUUCAAAAUGGGCAACUGAGAUCUUAACAUAACUAAAACCCAGACCAGUGCUGUGGAAGGCCAUGAUAAACCUAUAAGUUGUUCUUCCUCUGCCUGCCUCUUUCACAUACCUCUGUUAAUGACUUUGUUUUGACCAAAUGUUAAUGACUUUGUUCUUUGUUUUAAACUGAUGCAAAUAGCCUUUUGUUCUGUAGGGACUACCUGUGGCAUACAACCCCCCACAGGAAAGUUGGAGCCCAGGUAUCAGAUAUGUAUGUCUUUAGCCUAAUAAACUCAGAGGCACUGGUUUUACUGGGGAGCCUAAUAAAGAAAUGUCUGGCAGGGGACUACAAAGACACUUGUAAGCCUUAUUAAGAUUCUCUAUAAGCUCUCUAAUGUAAAACUGCUCUUUGGGACUGCAUAGAGACUGUGUUGCUGCCGGGUCCCUGGUGAUGCAUGCAUCUCCUUAGUAAACUUUCCCACUCUUUCUUACUUGGAGUAUGUUUCAUUGGCUCGACUGCUCCAGGGCACGGACCUUAAUCGGGUAACAGCCUGGACUAUAAAACAGAAUACUUAUGAAGAGUGUGCUUCUUAGAUCAAGCAGAUAUACAAGACCAAAUGGGCGGCUCCUGUCCAGAGGCAGGAUGAGAAGGCAGAAAGGACAGGAGCUGGUUGGAUGGACACGGGAAGCCCAAGGUGGGAAGAGUAUGCUGUCACACUAUAAGGAUUGCAACUAGUGUCACAUAACAAUAUGUGUAUAAUUUUUGUAUGAGAAAUUAACUUGACCUGUAAACUUUCACCUAAAGCACAAUUUUUAAAAAAGAGAGACAGGCUGAGUUUGGACAAGUUCCGUUAGCAUCCAUUGACCUAGCCUGCAGGGGCUAGGGUUGAGAGAGAGAGGAAGGGCUGGCUGGUCAGAAAUAAAGGGAGUUGUGUGUGGACUCCUGAGUUUAUGGGUCGAAUCCGUUGACCCAGCCCAAGGGGGCUAGGGAUGAGUGUGUGAAGGGGCUGUCUGAAGCCCCAGGAGGUGUGUGUGAACUCUCAAGCCUAAAGCUGCUACCCAUUGUGACCUAGCUUGGAUGGCCAGGGAUGAGCUGACCAGAACCCUACGGAAUGAAGGAACGAUGUUUGACAUUGUGAGCUGACGUAGAUUGCUGCAGUUUUAUGGCUUGCCCUGGACUUUGCUUGUGGAUGCACGUGCUCAAAGCUCCAACUGGAACUGAAGAUUCUUCAAGACCAAAGAACGUGCUUUUCUUCUCAGAGUACUGGUUGAUAAAAAAAAAAAAAAAAAAAAACCAGUGCCGUCGAGUCAAUUCCAACUCAUAGUGACCCUAUAGGACAGAGUAGAACUGCCCCAUAGAGUUUCCGAGGAGCGCCUGGCAGAUUUGAACUGCAGACCCUUUGAUUAGCAGCCACAGCACUUAACCGCUGAUAGGCACAGGCAAUUUAAACGUUUGCUGUCUACAAUGGGGGGAGCUAAAGGCAUAAGUGGCUGGCUUACAGGCUUCUGUGAAUGUGCUUAUAUUAAAUGAGGAGACCAGGGAGGAUCCCCACUGAAUAGAUUGCUCGUUUCCUGAUGGGUCUGGGAAGAGAAGGUGGGAGAAGUUGUUGAUAGGAUUAUAUGAUUCAGUUGUGAGCACUGAUUGUUAACAGGGCUAAUUGUGAUUGUAAAAUCUUUAAUUGUAGAAGCUGUAAGUAUAAAAGAGUAGACUGAGGGGUAGGCACUGCUAGAUUAAAGUAUAGCGGCCGAACCUUAAGUCCCUUAAAGGUUUUGCUGUGUUGAUACCUCGUGAGGCUCAAAGCAAGGGAAUAAUCUUGUCUUUUAGUUAAAUGUUAUCAGAGGCUAUAAAGGAUGAAGCCGAGAGGAACUGCUGGAGAGCUGACCAGAUCACAUGGACACCUGCAGCAGGCCUGAAUGGCUGAUACCUGAAUAACCUCAUCCUUAGGACUUUUUGCACUACUGCAGGACUGUUACUGUUUUGGACUGGUAACAACAACAAAUAAUACUGCCAUGAACAGUCUGGUACAAGUAUUUUGGUAAACAUAUGUAUGCAUUUGUGAUGAGAGUAGGAAUGCUGUGUCAUGGAAAAUGCAUGUUUGACAUUAGUAGAUACUGCCAAAUAGUUUUCCAGUGUGUUGUACCAAUUUACACUCCUCUGGGAAGCAGGACCCAGGGUGGUGGUGGGGGGGGAAGGGGCUGUUAUUUUUCAUUAGAAACUUUGCUGUAUUUUACCAAUUGGAUUAGGUUUUGCAACAUAUACCAGAAAAAAAAAAUAAAGUCAUCUAAACAAGAUAGAUGUUUAUUUCCUUUCUCACAUAUAAGGAGUCCCUAGGCAAGCUGGUGUGACGGCCCCAUG